GGGUUGUGAGGUUAAGCGACUAAGCGUACACGGUGGAUGCCUAGGCAGUCAGAGGCGAUGAAGGGCGUGCUAAUCUGCGAAAAGCGUCGGUAAGCUGAUAUGAAGCGUAAUAACCGACGAUACCCGAAUGGGGAAACCCAGUGCAAUUCGUUGCACUAUUGCAUGGUGAAUACAUAGCCAUGCAAGGCGAACCGGGGGAACUGAAACAUCUAAGUACCCCGAGGAAAAGAAAUCAACCGAGAUUCCCCCAGUAGCGGCGAGCGAACGGGGAAGAGCCCAGAGUCUGAAUCAGUUGGUGUGUUAGUGGAAGCGUCUGGAAAGUCGCACGGUACAGGGUGAUAGUCCCGUACACAAAAACACACUGGCUGUGAACUCGAUGAGUAGGGCGGGACACGUGACAUCCUGUCUGAAUAUGGGGGGACCAUCCUCCAAGGCUAAAUACUCCUGACUGACCGAUAGUGAACCAGUACCGUGAGGGAAAGGCGAAAAGAACCCCGGCGAGGGGAGUGAAAUAGAACCUGAAACCGUGUACGUACAAGCAGUGGGAGCACCUUCGUGGUGUGACUGCGUACCUUUUGUAUAAUGGGUCAGCGACUUAUAUUUUGUAGCAAGGUUAACCGAAUAGGGGAGCCGUAGGGAAACCGAGUCUUAACUGGGCGUCUAGUUGCAAGGUAUAGACCCGAAACCCGGUGAUCUAGCCAUGGGCAGGUUGAAGGUUGGGUAACACUAACUGGAGGACCGAACCGACUAAUGUUGAAAAAUUAGCGGAUGACUUGUGGCUGGGGGUGAAAGGCCAAUCAAACCGGGAGAUAGCUGGUUCUCCCCGAAAGCUAUUUAGGUAGCGCCUCGUGAACUCAUCUUCGGGGGUAGAGCACUGUUUCGGCUAGGGGUCCAUCCCGGAUUACCAAACCGAUGCAAACUCCGAAUACCGAAGAAUGUUAUCACGGGAGACACACGGCGGGUGCUAACGUCCGUCGUGAAGAGGGAAACAACCCAGACCGCCAGCUAAGGUCCCAAAGUCAUGGUUAAGUGGGAAACGAUGUGGGAAGGCAUAGACAGCCAGGAUGUUGGCUUAGAAGCAGCCAUCAUUUAAAGAAAGCGUAAUAGCUCACUGGUCGAGUCGGCCUGCGCGGAAGAUGUAACGGGGCUAAACCAUGCACCGAAGCUGCGGCAGCGACGCUUAGGCGUUGUUGGGUAGGGGAGCGUUCUGUAAGCCGUUGAAGGUGGCCUGUGAGGGCUGCUGGAGGUAUCAGAAGUGCGAAUGCUG
RNAcentral lists this ribosomal RNA (1267 nucleotides) under Yersinia ruckeri. RNAcentral's name for it is "bacterial LSU rRNA". It matches the Rfam family "Bacterial large subunit ribosomal RNA", at positions 1 to 1299 of the family's 2925-position model. Lineage: Bacteria; Pseudomonadati; Pseudomonadota; Gammaproteobacteria; Enterobacterales; Yersiniaceae. The record is from RNAcentral.